Ananas comosus (pineapple) is the source of this 492-nucleotide long non-coding RNA. RefSeq lists it as uncharacterized. The record is from RefSeq and is a predicted model, not a curated record. The transcript has 2 exons. Lineage: Eukaryota; Viridiplantae; Streptophyta; Magnoliopsida; Poales; Bromeliaceae.
CUGGAGGGCCGAGGCGGCGUCUAAAAAUCAUGGAAACGGAUUUGGAGCACCGUGACGCAUAACCGAAGACCUAUAAUUUUCGGAGCUGCGAAGCGGCGCGCGGUUGGUGCGCAAUUGCGAGAUCAGGCCAAAUCGGAUAGCGGGUGCCGCGGGCGACCAAUUGCAAGUGUCGACAACCAAUCGGAGAGCGAAUCAAGGUUCGCACGUGAGCGGUGUGGCGGCGCGAGGCAAGGGCGUAGCUCCGUAGGUAGCGCCCUACCACAGAGACCAGAGAUAGCAGUACCCCGAGUCGACAUAUCCUAGGGGUAUAGAGAUGAAAGAUCAAUGUAUCAAAUUUGUAAUGAAUAAAUGAUGCAAUAAUUCAGAUUGCAUUUGCAUGAAAAAUGAGUUGGAUUUGAGAUGUAAAAAUGUACGAAUGUGAAUGCGUGUAAUAACUUAGGAUGUGUUAUGUUGUUGAUACCUUCUUUAUGCAAUCUCUGCUUGAAUACUGUC